GGGCAAGUGGCGGAACUGGCAGACGCGCCGGAUUUAGGUUCCGGUGGGGCGACCCGUGCAGGUUCGAGUCCUGUCUUGCCCA
Molecule: transfer RNA, 82 nt
Filed under: Binatus sp. (SeqCode)
Lineage: Bacteria; Candidatus Binatota; Binatia (SeqCode); Binatales (SeqCode); Binataceae (SeqCode)
Also listed under: 1 other name
Description: tRNA-Leu
Rfam family: tRNA
About the family: Transfer RNA (tRNA) molecules are approximately 80 nucleotides in length. Their secondary structure includes four short double-helical elements and three loops (D, anti-codon, and T loops).
Source: RNAcentral